RNAcentral lists this ribosomal RNA (500 nucleotides) under uncultured bacterium. Its description in RNAcentral is "bacterial SSU rRNA". It matches the Rfam family "Bacterial small subunit ribosomal RNA", at positions 8 to 507 of the family's 1533-position model. The record is from RNAcentral.
AGAGUUUGAUCAUGGCUCAGAUUGAACGCUGGCGGAAUGCUUUACACAUGCAAGUCGAACGGCAGCACGGGGCAACCUGGUGGCGAGUGGCGAACGGGUGAGUAAUACAUCGGAACGUGCCCAAUCGUGGGGGAUAACGUAGCGAAAGUUACGCUAAUACCGCAUACGAUCUACGGAUGGAAGCGGGGAUCGCAAGACCUCGCGCGAAUGGAGCGGCCGAUGUCAGAUUAGGUAGUUGGUGGGGUAAAGGCUCACCAAGCCAACGAUCUGUAGCUGGUCUGAGAGGACGACCAGCCACACUGGAACUGAGACACGGUCCAGACUCCUACGGGAGGCAGCAGUGGGGAAUUUUGGACAAUGGCGCAAGCCUGAUCCAGCCAUUCCGCGUGCAGGAUGAAGGCCUUCGGGUUGUAAACUGCUUUUGUACGGAACGAAAAGGUCCUGGUUAAUACCUGGGGCUCAUGACGGUACCGUAAGAAUAAGCACCGGCUAACUACGUG